UUGGCGUUAGGGUUAAAAUCACUGUCCAAAACCUUUGUAGGAACUCUUUUCCAACCUUUUGGAGUUAGUUACACCAAAAAAAAUAUUGUAAAAUGAAAAAGAAAUAUUUGGGGUUUUCGGGCUUUCUGAAGGUAAUACCCUGGUAUAAGGUUAUGGGACUAAUGUAAGGUUUAAGGUUUUUGGCGUUAGGGUUAAAAUCACUGUCAAAACCUUUGUAGGAACUCUUUUCC
Non-coding RNA from Xyrichtys novacula (pearly razorfish), 230 nucleotides. Lineage: Eukaryota; Metazoa; Chordata; Actinopteri; Labriformes; Labridae. The record is from the annotation of a GenBank genome assembly.